CUGUGUCCUUUAGUCAGAAAUCCUGGGGUUAUAGAGACUUUUCAAGGAACAGCCCAGAUCUCAUCUUCGAUCUUGAGUCAAAGCUGUCCUUUGAGGGAUUCUAACCAUCCCUGGAUUCCUCUGAGGCACUAUUUGUCAAGUCGUUUUUCCCCUCCAAGCCUCUUUCAUUUAGGCAGCCACAUCUUCCCCACAGGCACCCAUUCCUCAUUUUCAAAUCUCCCUGCCUCUCUCGCCUCCAGCUGGUUCCUGAACUUUGGUCCAGCACUUCCAAAGGCACCUCCACCCUCCAGCAAGCCAUCCUGCCCUGUGUCCUGUUUCCCAGCUGAAGUUUGGCUUCUCCAUCCCUCACUCUUCUCCACCUCCAGCUCCUCUCAUGCUCUUCCCCAGGGUGCAGCAGGUUCUCACAACUAGGAUAACAUGGAGAACUUAACAAAGAGGAGGAAGAAGAAGAGAAAUUUUAAAACUCAAGCUGAGCCCAGCCCCAUCAGAAAGAACUGGUCCUGAGGCUCCAAGGACUAGACGUGCCUGUGACAUUUGCCCACUAGGCAUAGUGUGUAUGUGCGUGCUGAGUUGCUCCAGUCGUGUCUGACUCUUUUCCACCCUAUGCCCCAGGCUCCUCUGCCCUAUUCCCGACCCAGAGGUCAAACCCAUGUCUCUCUACAUCUCCAGCAUUGGCAGGCGGGUUCCUUACCACUAGCGCCACCUGGGAAGUUCCACUAGACUCAGUGGAACCACGGAAGCCCCAUCUGAGAGAAUCAGCCCAUCAGAAGGCACUCAGGUGAGCUGGGUCUUUCUGUCACUGAGACCACCCCAGGCCCUGAGGAUUUGCAUGACUUAAAGUCACACAGAAGCCCCAGUACCUGCACAGUAAGGCUCUUCCCUGAGGAGAAGCCUGGAAAAGAGUUGCAAAAGUGGGAUGGGGCGGGGAGAGGAGUAGCAAAGCUGUAGAAAGGAUCGAGGGACAGCAAAGGUGGGGAGACAGCAUCAGGUGGCCUCCGGAUGAGAGCGAUGGCAUGUGAGGUAUGGGUGGGGCCAGAUAAGAAGGUAUGAAGGAAAGAUUACAGGGGGGAUUGGCGGUUCUGUGGAACCUGUGGGGAAGGGGCUCCUCCUCUCUUCUCCAGGGUGAGCUUGAAAAGGAUAAGGAAUGGUGACUGAGAGCUCACUGGGUGCUACUUUACAUACCUUUAAUCCUAUGAGGGAGGUUGAGUAAUUUGCUCAAAAUUCCACAGUUAUUAAUUGAUGCAGCCAACUUUCAACCUCAGAUCUGACUUCUAGAUGCCUGGCUGUCUUCCGUGAGAUGAGCCUAAGGGCCUUCCCAGCUCCACACCUGUACAAGGGGUGCACUGAGAGAGGAGAGAAGGGGAGAAAAACGGCAGUGCGAGGAGAUGAGGGAAGAAGGGAGCAACCAAGAUAUGGAAAAAGAAGAGAACAGGAAGGGGAUAGGAAAGAUAAGAGACUAAAAAAGGAUGGGGAGUGAGGAGGAAAGGGGCAAGGUAAGGGGGAACAACAGGAAAGGAAGAACCAGGAGAGGAAAAAAGAUGGAGCCGUAGUGGAACAGAAGGUUGAGCCAGAGGAAGGGGGAGAGGGAUUGGGGUAGGGUCUUGGAGGAGUCAGAAUCACCUGGAGUAUAAGCCUAGGAGCUGAAGGAAAAGGGCUGGAGUUUAGUAGGUGUUUGUGGUUUUGUUUUGUUUUUUUUCCUUGCUGUGAAAGUAUGGAGUGUGGGGAUCAUUGCCUAUGGAGCUGUCAACAGACUAGUCAGCUCAGCCAAGUGUCUGUUGGAGGGAAACUGGAACUGAGGUCAGACUCCUCAUGGCCUCUAUUGUGGGUGUCUCAGAUCCUACAUUUGAUCUUAAAAUUGUAAACUCGGAAAAGCAGAUUUUUCUUUUUCUUUUUGGUUUUUGCUGAGGCCCUGGGCUUCAGUCCCUAAAAGGAGUUAUUGGAGGAGGAAGGCAUUCCAGAAAGGAAAGAGCAAUAGAAUAUAAGUAACAAAAGGGAAUGAAAGAGGGCUUCCCUGGUGGUCCAGUGGUUAAGCAUCUGCCUGCCAAUGCACAGGGCACAGGUUCGAUCCCUGAUCCAGGAAGAUCCCACAUGUCUUGGAGCAACUAAGCCAUGAGCCACAGCUACUGAAGCCCAACAGCCUAGAGCUUGUGCUCCACAGCAAGAGAAACCACCGCGAUGAGAAGCCUGCCCACCACAGUGAAGAGCAGCCCCAACUCACUGCAACUGGAGAAAGCCUGGGUGUAGCAACGAAGACCCAGCACAGCCAAAAAAUAAAUUAAAACAAAACAAAAAAAAGGAAUGAAAG
RNAcentral lists this long non-coding RNA (2305 nucleotides) under Bos indicus x Bos taurus (hybrid cattle). RNAcentral's name for it is "lncRNA (ENSBIXG00005012021.1)". The record is from RNAcentral. Lineage: Eukaryota; Metazoa; Chordata; Mammalia; Artiodactyla; Bovidae.